This 508-nucleotide ribosomal RNA is filed under the name Falkonemadus cf. sphenisci MSL2007. RNAcentral's name for it is "partial 16S ribosomal RNA". It matches the Rfam family "Bacterial large subunit ribosomal RNA", at positions 1825 to 2600 of the family's 2925-position model. Lineage: Eukaryota; Metazoa; Arthropoda; Insecta; Coleoptera; Leiodidae. RNAcentral also lists the same sequence under 1 other name. The record is from RNAcentral.
GUCUUAUUGAAAAUAAUUUUAAGUCUGAUCUGCCCAAUGAAAUUUUAAAUGGCUGCAGUAUUUUAACUGUACAAAGGUAGCAUAAUAAUUUGUCUCUUAAUUAGGGACUUGUAUGAAUGAUCAAACGAGAUAAUAACUGUCUCUAAAUAAAUUAUAGAAUUUUAUAUUUAAGUAAAAAAGCUUAAAUUUUUUUAAAAGACGAGAAGACCCUAUAGAGUUUUAUAUUUUUAUUAUUAUAAAUUUUUAGUAUUAAUAAUUAAUUUUAAAUAAAAAUAUUUCAUUGGGGUGAUGAAAAAAUUAAAAUAACUUUUUUAUAUUUUUAACAUAAAUUUAUGAUUUUUUGAUCCAAUAUUUUUGAUUAUAAGAUUAAAUUACCUUAGGGAUAACAGCGUAAUUUUUUUAAAGAGUUCUUAUCGAAAAAAAAGAUUGCGACCUCGAUGUUGGAUUAAAAUUAAUUUUUGGCGUAGAAGUUAAAAUAUUAGGUCUGUUCGACCUUUAAAAUUUUACA